UCAUUUGAAUCCGUUUCUUCGUCGACAAUAUUUAAAUCUUUUAUGAAAACACACCAGUUUAUACCAGCUCCACAGUCCGGUUCUUUUUCUGAUGCCCACCAAAGUGCAGUCUGAAACAUUCGUGAAUAAUAGCUUAGGUCAUAGAUAGAGCAACUCGUGAAAGUUGUGCAUACUUCCUGCAGAAAAUUUGUAUGGGUAUAUUGGCUGCAGUGCUGGAUAUAUUUCAAGCAAAACAUAUUGAAAAUAAUUAUCGAAAUAUGUUUGUUUAAAUGAAAUAAUAUUUACUUCAUCUAUAUAUAUGAAAAAUGUUUAUAUAAAAUAUGGUAAUAUUGUUCGUCAAAUUUGCAGUAGAAAAUGUGCAUGAAACAUAACGAUAAAAAAAUACCUUGACGUUUAUCGGCGGCGCAGGUGGAGGAGGAUCCACUUUAACAUUGAUAAAUUUUAGAACGUCAUUAUAGUCCAGUUGUUCCUUUUCGUUCUUGUGAAUGCUAUAUUAUUAUUGCAAGAUCUCCACUUAUAUACGUACUGAUCAAGCAUGGAAUUUAAAAGUUCCACGUCGACUGGAAUUCUGGCAGCACGGAGAGUAGUAUACAACGUAUCGCGUGGUAAGAAUCCUGUUCUUCCUCUGUCCCAAUGAUGUAGAUCCUCCUCCAAACGAUCGAGAUCGUUCCACAAAGUUCGCAAAAGUUCCGUAUGCAUUAACUGUCUGUUAAACGUCUAAUUGUUAUUCUUACUAUGUUGAAUCGAUCUUACGUCGGUGUUUCUACCAACGACGAUCGCUUACCUUAUGUAUUCCCUAGUGCGAAACUCUUUUUUCUCAUGAGACGAAUAGUGUCGAGCGAUCGUGAUUAUUUCGUGCUCUGUUAUUUUUCCUUCCAUAUACUUGCCCAAGAUCUCCCUGAUUUUUCAUGCAAUUAUUGUAAUAGUACAGUAUAAAUAGUAUAGUAUUUGAUGGUGUAACAAAACUGCUAUAUAGUACAAAUAAAAAGAUUAGUAGCACGUUAGGUCGUGGCUUAUAAAAUAUUUAUUUGAGGGCUUGCAAGGACUCUAAAAGACAGCUUUCGAAUAUCUUUGUUAUUUGUACUUGGUUGCUUAGUUUAAAUGUUGUGUAAUUUGUUUAAUCUUAUGUAUGUAGAUUUGGUGGAUCAGAGCAUGAGAGGAGUACAGCAGGAGCUGAUUCAGCGCGCCAAAAUAAGAAGAAGAAUUCCUACAAACUGCCCGUAUGACCUUACUGUCGAGUAACAGCUUGUUUCGUGUCGUAAUAGUCGCUUAGCUACCACCCAGAAAAUCGGUAGCUCCGGUAGCAGCGUGAAUGCAUCGCAUCGUAGAUCGUGGAACCUGUUCCAACAGCUUAUACGGAUUCGUCGGCGACUUUGACGAAGAGUUUCGAUACUGUCAACCGACGUUGUAUAAACAGGACACUUUAAACGCUCCCGUGACUAACAAUCCAAUGGGGCCAAGUGCGAAGAGCGAGCUGAUGAGGAAAUAAGACCAGCACGACAUAUCCAUCUUCCAGGGAGUCGUUGAUCUAAGUAACAUUUAGCAUCGCAAAAUAAGCUGUAACUCGAAAACGUGGUCGUAUCGGGCGUAUGUUUAUACGAAGUUUUCUUCUUAUUUCAGUCUGCCGAAUCAACACCUGCUGUACUUACCCGCAUGCUCUGAUUCACAUAAAUUCGUAAUCCGCGGUAGCGUGCGUUUCAACAAAUUGCAAUUGGAUUUUUCGAUUUUUACGUGACGAAUCAUUUCCUGUCACGCCGUUCGAAUACUUUGGUCAUUCGCCUCAUAGGUAAUCGAAUGAAACAAAACGUAUACCUGAGUUUCUCGUACGGCAGGACUCGAACAUCCCCGUCGAUUGAUUGGGCUGGCUCGCAAAGCUGUAAGAAUUCUUUGUAAACCGGUUUCAAUGUCUGUCGUAGUUUUUCCACGAUUAACUUGACGUUAGCUUUGGCGAACUGAAAAAUCGGAAUACAAACGAAACGUUCAUAUUUCAAUAGCUUGCCCGGCCGAGUUCGUCAGGGGAACGCUAAUCCGAUGUUCUAAAGUUCGGGACAGCGUGGAACAGUAAAAACAGCGAGACGCGUAUAAAUUAUUGCACCUUAUCGCAAUGUAACUCCAUGUAACGAAGAGCAUAAACGUCGGCCGAAGUAAUUUCGAAGAUAAAACCGUUCAAGUUAGGACGUGCUCCAAUAUAAAAAUCCUCCGGCUUGUAAUAAUCCGGUUUCUUGCUUACAAAUACCUCUUGAUUAGGUAACAUCACCGGCAUUCUCUUCUGGAACAGGCAUCGUCUAAAGCCUGCAAAUAACGUGAAAAACUCAUGCAAUCAAUAAGGAAACGAUGUUGAGGCGCUAAACCGAAACGAAUGUUAAUAAUCAGGCUACGGUCGUUUCUAUGUAUAAUGGUAUUUGGUUUGUGGACAUUCGAUGACUUCUUCAAGACAACCCCGUAGGUGUCGAACAUCAAACUAUUUUAGGAGAAAGGAGAAUCCUUUCCGACUUGCUAUCAUCUUCGUAAUCUGAUUUUGAUAAUUUCGAUAAUAGUAUUUUCUUAAAGAACUGUUCACCUGAAUUUCUUCUCGCCAAUUCGAAAAUAGAAACCGUAUCGUCCAUGAGGAAAACUCUUAUAAUGAACUGCCUGUCUUGAUUAGCCGGUACGUUCGAUAUCAUUUGCGCUCUGAAUCUCAAAACGUAGCUGUCCAAGCCCUGUCUAAGAAAGAGGAAAAGAGGAAGAAAAGGUGGCUGCGGUAUCACCCUGAAACAGUUGCCGAGGGAAUCUUCGUAGGACCCAAAACCAUUGUAGGGUGGAAUGUAUCUUUCCACUUUCACGCAAAUCUCGCCAACAUUUCGAGGUCUUUCCAUGGGCGUGAAGUCAUCCAGACCGUAUUUCUUCCUUUGAUGCGAUACAAGAAACAUCUUUUUACGUGACACAUUCUUUUCUACGCCUUUUACUGUUCAAUGGAUCUAUCGUGUAAUAACCAUGGGAUGUAUCGUCUCCCAUCACGUUCAAAACGGUAAAAGCGUCUCCUGUUCCGAUCGAGCCCAUUUCCGAGAAGAUCUAUAUUCGAAUGUCCGUCCAUUAAUCCCUCGAGUUACAAGUCUUGCGAAACUAAAUUCCAUUAUAAACAGAGUAUAAAUGCAGCGAGUCACUGCCUGCAAUCUUUGGGUACGUAAAUAAUCUUUUCGUAGUUUUGCAAAAUCAUAUUCCAAAAUCAACUUGGUUUUUGCAUCUUCGGUCCAGUCUACCCUGUUCUAUUUAUGCCAACCUGUGUAAACUCGCGAACUCAAUUAUCUCGUACAAUGAGAGUACAUCGACUGUAAAUUCUGUCAUGACACAAACAAAAAUGCGUAUUACACUCAUAAUGAAAAUUUUACCUUAUAAGUAUAAUCGUUUUUUAAUUGUUACAUGAAUCAUUCUGUGAAAAUUUCUUAUAAUGGAACAGUCGAAGAGUAAAAAAAUUGCUACAAUUUUCGCUAUCCUAUCCUCAAAGUACCGUGUUAGGCAAGAAUUCCGAGUUUGCACAUAUACCAGUACAACGAAUUCUUACUUUAGGAACUUGCAUACGUCGCAAAAACGUGGAACCAGAAUCUCGUCCGGAAUUCGACGGCAGAUUCUCUUUGAUCUCUAUCGUGUUGUCAGCUAGGUAAUAGUAAAUUUCCAGAUCAUGUACGACGCCGUAAAGGUUAUCCGUGUCAUCCCAAUAGCCGUAAAAUCGAAGCACUUGUUUGUCGUAUUUCAAGAAGUCGCCGCGAGUAUCCACCUUCUGUUUUGGUUUCUUCGGAAAUGUUUCCUGUUUCGAUCAGUUAAAGCGUAGAGUAAGCAGACAAUUGCUGAUGUAAACAAACAGAUGUAAAGAUGUGAAUCCCAUUUCGUGAUAAUAUAGAUCACAUUAAAGAAAUGUUGGUUCCUAAAGUAUAAAAAUAAAAUUAAAGACUUCCAUGCACGUUAUGUGUUUUUCAAACUCCACGUUUUACGGUAAAAUCUCUUUUUAAGUAAACACAUACAUUACGAUAAAAAAUAAUAUUCGUGUAUGUAUUAAGUUGUGCGCAAAAGUAAAGAUAUAUGCAAACGAAGGUAAAGAAUAUAGUUUUCAAUGUUUCAUUGUAAGUAAAAUAUUAGUUAAAUAAUUAUAAUUAUGUCGAACACUUUUUUUAUUGUACUUACUCGCUUAUGAAGUUCCAAAUAAGGAUCCUUUGGUAUUUCUAUCGGAUCUGGCACGGCGAUUCCCAUACGAUUUAAAAAUUGUCUCGUAAAUUUAUCACAGUCUACAAUCUUAUAUACUCUCCCAAAUAAUUCCGGCUCUUUACCGAUAUUUAGAUCUAUUAUAUCGUAGUAUCUGUAUCUCACUGGAUUAGGCAUUGGAAUUCUCUGUCGCCUUAACAAAACUCCUAAGUACACGCGUUUCAUCUUUCAGUAAUAAAACUUUGACAGAUUAAAUAUAUAUUAAAUAAUUAAAAGUAUCGAAGAGGAUGCACCGUUGAACCUUGCUCAAGACCACUAUUGUCCACGGAAGGCUCAGAAAUUUUCAUCGUUCCAUCCUCCAAAAAGAAGCUGAUAUUUACCACGCGUAUUUGUUUUCUAGAUAAAUGAUCAUACUUGGCCAUCAUAAGCAAUCCAAGGAGGCAGUUCUUGAACUUCCCCGCGAGCAUAAAUUGACGGAUAACGAAUUGGAUCGCUUUUAUCAAACUUUUCCGAUAAAUAAUAAACUCCAUCGUGAAUUUUAGUAAAGUAUUGAUUCCUGGCAAAGUUUGUUCGAUCAAGCUAAACAAGAAGAUACAUCAAGCGCUUUUUGUAUUAUAUUAUAAUGUAUUACGUGCGUAUGUUCUAUGCUCAUCAAUAAUAUAAAUAUUAUUUCAUGAAAUUCUAUGUCGUAGCCAAUGCAUAUAUUGGUUAAUUAAACACAAAGUGUCAUGAGACCGUAAAAGAAAAAUGACUUACGUUUUUAUCGAAGCUAAAUCCUGGUAGACAUGGAAGUAUAAGAUCACGCUGCAUUUUACCGCCGAUGGAAAUUGGAUUAAUAAAUAUGAUACAUUUGAAGAGUUAGUAGCCGAUUUACGAGGAAACACUUUACGUAUCUGAUAUCGACGUAAGAAUAUGCGUUACUGCUAUUUGCUAUUGUUGUGUUUCCUUGGAGAUACUUCAGUUGAUUUCAUCAGGAGAAAAGAAGAACUUCGAGGUACUUGCAGCUUUAAUAUAUAUAUAUAUAUAUAUUUAUAUUUUAUUAUCAUCAACAAUUCGCAAUAUUACACUGGUAACAUUUUAUACCAGUAUAUGCAGAAACAUAAAUUUAUAUAAUAUAUAGCAAUAUACAAUAUAGCAAAAAUUCUGGUAUAAAUAUAAUAACACGUAUAUAUUAUAUAUUAGUUUGAUUCGUAACAAUCUAUGUUAAGUUUUGAACUAUACUGCUGACUAUAAUUUGUUAUUAAUUUUAUUACUUAAGAGCAUGAUGUACAGAUCAUGAUACUAUUUAAUUGGUAACUCGUUAUUCAAAUGAUAUAAAUGCAUCAAUGGUAAAUAAAUUACAAAUAUAUAGUAAAUGGGGUAAUAGAUUCAAUAAGAAGUUAAGCGUAAUAGAAGCAAGAUCAAACAUCCAUUGAUCAAACAUAAUUUAAAACACUCUAUUAAUAAACCUCUGUGCAAAAAGAUUAAGUCAUGUUUAAUGAAUAAUAGAUGUUAUAUUAUGCGUAUAGU
Long non-coding RNA from Bombus terrestris (buff-tailed bumblebee), 5685 nucleotides. RefSeq lists it as uncharacterized. The transcript is spliced from 7 exons. Lineage: Eukaryota; Metazoa; Arthropoda; Insecta; Hymenoptera; Apidae. The record is from RefSeq and is a predicted model, not a curated record.